RNAcentral lists this transfer RNA (199 nucleotides) under Marmota monax (woodchuck). RNAcentral's name for it is "tRNA.SeC". Lineage: Eukaryota; Metazoa; Chordata; Mammalia; Rodentia; Sciuridae. The record is from RNAcentral.
GGGGAUGUGGCUCAGUGGUUGAGUGCCCCUGAAUUCAAUCCUUCGUACCAAAAAAAAAAAAAAAAAAAGAGGAAAAAUUAAUUUAACAGCAUCAUUUUCCUAAUUACAAAGGAUAAAAAAGGGAGGCAAGCAUACUAUAGAGGCUAAGAAUGCAGACUUGAAAAAUUAGACUACUUUGGUUCAAAUCCUAACAUUGCCA